CCUACGGGUGGCAGCAGUGAGGAAUAUUGGGCAAUGGACGCAGUCUGAACCAGCCAUGGCGCGUGCAGGAAGACGGCCCUAUGAGUUGUAAACUGCUUUUGUACGAGGGUAAACGCAGAUACGCGUAUCUGUCUUAAAGUACCGUACACAUAGGGACAGCCGAACUGGGUGCCAAAAGCCGCGGUAAUACGUAGGAGUCAAGCGUUAUCCGGAUUUAUUGGGUUGAAAGGGUGCGUAGGCGGUGGGAUAAGUUAGAGGUGAAAUCCCGAGGCUCAACUUCGGAACUGCAUCUGAUACUGUUCGGCUUGAGAGUAGUUGAGGUAGGCGGAAUGUAGGGUGUAGCGGUGAAAUGCGUAGAUA
RNAcentral lists this ribosomal RNA (360 nucleotides) under uncultured bacterium. RNAcentral's name for it is "partial 16S ribosomal RNA". It matches the Rfam family "Bacterial small subunit ribosomal RNA", at positions 338 to 696 of the family's 1533-position model. The record is from RNAcentral.